Molecule: ribosomal RNA, 253 nt
Filed under: uncultured bacterium
Lineage: Bacteria
Description: partial 16S ribosomal RNA
Rfam family: Bacterial small subunit ribosomal RNA
Source: RNAcentral
UACGGCGGGGGCUAGCGUUGUUCGGAAUUACUGGGCGUAAAGCGCACGUAGGCGGCUUUGUAAGUUAGAGGUGAAAGCCCGGAGCUCAAUUCCGGAAUUGCCUUUAAGACUGCAUCGCUUGAAUCCAGGAGAGGUGAGUGGAAUUCCGAGUGUAGAGGUGAAAUUCGUAGAUAUUCGGAAGAACACCAGUGGCGAAGGCGGCUCACUGGACUGGUAUUGACGCUGAGGUGCGAAAGCGUGGGGAGCAAACAGG